Molecule: ribosomal RNA, 676 nt
Filed under: uncultured bacterium
Lineage: Bacteria
Description: bacterial SSU rRNA
Rfam family: Bacterial small subunit ribosomal RNA
Source: RNAcentral
UAGCGGAAGUUUUCGGAUGGAAGCGGAUAUGACUUAGCGGCGGACGGGUGAGUAACGCGUGGAUAACCUGCCUCAUACAGGGGGAUAACAGUUAGAAAUGACUGCUAAUACCGCAUAAGCGCACAGGACCGCAUGGUCCGGUGUGAAAAACUCCGGUGGUAUGGGAUGGAUCCGCGUCUGAUUAGCUGGUUGGUGAGGUAACGGCCCACCAAGGCGACGAUCAGUAGCCGACCUGAGAGGGUGGCCGGCCACAUUGGGACUGAGACACGGCCCAAACUCCUACGGGAGGCAGCAGUGGGGAAUAUUGCACAAUGGGGGAAACCCUGAUGCAGCAACGCCGCGUGAGUGAAGAAGUAUUUCGGUAUGUAAAGCUCUAUCAGCAGGGAAGAAGAAAGACGGUACCUGACUAAGAAGCCCCGGCUAACUACGUGCCAGCAGCCGCGGUAAUACGUAGGGGGCAAGCGUUAUCCGGAUUUACUGGGUGUAAAGGGAGCGUAGACGGCUGUGCAAGUCUGAAGUGAAAGCCCGUGGCUCAACCGCGGAACUGCUUUGGAAACUGUAUAGCUUGAGUACUGGAGAGGCAGGCGGAAUUCCUAGUGUAGCGGUGAAAUGCGUAGAUAUUAGGAGGAACACCAGUGGCGAAGGCGGCCUGCUGGACAGAAACUGACGUUGAGGC